RNAcentral lists this RNase P RNA (387 nucleotides) under Planctomyces sp. SH-PL14. Its description in RNAcentral is "Bacterial RNase P class A". It matches the Rfam family "Bacterial RNase P class A". From Rfam's summary of the family: Ribonuclease P (RNase P) is a ubiquitous endoribonuclease, found in archaea, bacteria and eukarya as well as chloroplasts and mitochondria. The record is from Rfam by way of RNAcentral. Lineage: Bacteria; Pseudomonadati; Planctomycetota; Planctomycetia; Planctomycetales; Planctomycetaceae.
GGAGUGAGUCGAACGGUCGCUGGAGGCGGGGUAGCCCGCCUCUGGAGGAAAGUCCGGGCUCCACAGGACACGGUGGUGGGUAACGCCCACCGUUCGCAAGAACAGGGACAGUGCCACAGAAAACAAACCGCCGAUGGCCUCACGGCACAGGCAAGGGUGAAAAGGUGCGGUAAGAGCGCACCGCGAUCCUGGCGACAGGGUCGGCACGGUAAACCCCACCGGGAGCAAGACCAAGCAGGACGCAAUGCGGGGCGUUUCGGCGCCACGCAUCGGGAGCGGUUCGUUCCCGUAGGACGUCCGGGUAGGUCGCAUCGAGGCGUCAGGCAACUGCCGCCCCAGAGAAAUGGCCGUUCUCGACAGAACCCGGCUUACAGACUCACUCCGGAU